RNAcentral lists this ribosomal RNA (253 nucleotides) under uncultured bacterium. Its description in RNAcentral is "partial 16S ribosomal RNA". It matches the Rfam family "Bacterial small subunit ribosomal RNA", at positions 524 to 776 of the family's 1533-position model. The record is from RNAcentral.
UACGUAGGGGGCAAGCGUUGUCCGGAUUUAUUGGGCGUAAAGAGCGUGUAGGCGGCUUGGUAGGUCCGCUGUGAAAACUCGAGGCUUAACCUCGAGCUGUCGGCGGAAACCAUCUGGCUAGAGUCCGGAAGAGGAGAAUGGAAUUCCCGGUGUAGCGGUGAAAUGCGCAGAUAUCGGGAAGAACACCCGUGGCGAAGGCGGUUCUCUGGGACGGUACUGACGCUGAGACGCGAAAGCGUGGGGAGCGAACAGG